Molecule: ribosomal RNA, 336 nt
Filed under: Triticum aestivum (bread wheat)
Lineage: Eukaryota; Viridiplantae; Streptophyta; Magnoliopsida; Poales; Poaceae
Description: partial small subunit ribosomal RNA
Source: RNAcentral
AUGUAUCGUGCGCUCACGCAUUCUGAGGUACCGGAGAGCAAUAACAAAAAAAUCUGGAAGGCAAAGAUUCCACUAAAAGUUAAAAUAUUCAUGUGGUACCUUCGUAGAGGUGUUGUGCUAACCAAGGACAACCUUGCACGACGCAACUGGCCAGGAAGUAAGAAGUGUUGUUUUUGUACUCAUAACGAGACAAUCAAAGACCUAUUUUUUCAAUGCAAGUUUGCGCGUUCUACGUGGUCAGUCAUCCAAAUAGCGUCAAAUUUGUAUCCGCCCACAAGUGUUGUCAAUAUUUUUGGUCAUUGGUUGGACGAUAUUUCAAAUAGGUUCAAAACGUAA